Molecule: transfer RNA, 73 nt
Filed under: Loxodonta africana (African savanna elephant)
Lineage: Eukaryota; Metazoa; Chordata; Mammalia; Proboscidea; Elephantidae
Rfam family: tRNA
About the family: Transfer RNA (tRNA) molecules are approximately 80 nucleotides in length. Their secondary structure includes four short double-helical elements and three loops (D, anti-codon, and T loops).
Source: Rfam by way of RNAcentral
CCCUGGGUGGUGCAGUAGUUAACACACUUGGCUGUUAACCAGAAGGCUGGAAGUUCGAGUCUACCCAGAGGUG